Molecule: ribosomal RNA, 253 nt
Filed under: uncultured bacterium
Lineage: Bacteria
Description: partial 16S ribosomal RNA
Rfam family: Bacterial small subunit ribosomal RNA
Source: RNAcentral
UACGUAGGGGGCGAGCGUUGUCCGGAGUUACUGGGCGUAAAGCGCACGCAGGCGGUCUGCUAAGUUUGGAGUGACAGUUGGUGGCUUAACUGCCAAAGUGCUUCGAAAACUGACAGACUUGAGGGCUUCAGAGGGACACGGAAUUCCCGGUGGAGUGGUGAAAUGCGUAGAGAUCCGGAGGAACACCAAAGGCGAAGGCAGUGUCCUGGGGAGUACCUGACGCUCAGGUGCGAAAGCCAGGGGAGCGAACGGG